Molecule: ribosomal RNA, 301 nt
Filed under: uncultured bacterium
Lineage: Bacteria
Description: partial 16S ribosomal RNA
Rfam family: Bacterial small subunit ribosomal RNA
Source: RNAcentral
CAGCAGCCGCGGUAAUGCGAAGGGGGCUAGCGUUGCUCGGAAUGACUGGGCGUAAAGGGCGCGUAGGCGGUUUUGACAGUCAGAUGUGAAAUUCCUGGGCUUAACCUGGGGGCUGCAUUUGAGACGUCAAGACUAGAGUGUGAGAGAGGGUUGUGGAAUUCCCAGUGUAGAGGUGAAAUUCGUAGAUAUUGGGAAGAACACCGGUGGCGAAGGCGGCAACCUGGCUCAUUACUGACGCUGAGGCACGAAAGCGUGGGGAGCAAACAGGAUUAGAUACCCCCGUAGUCCCUGUCUCUUAUAC